Aspergillus sclerotioniger CBS 115572 is the source of this 86-nucleotide non-coding RNA. Lineage: Eukaryota; Fungi; Ascomycota; Eurotiomycetes; Eurotiales; Aspergillaceae. The record is from the annotation of a RefSeq genome assembly.
GGUUAUGUAGUGUAGGGGUUAUCACUCCGGAUUUUGAGUUAUCUUGAAAUCUUCCGGCAACCCCGGUUCGAUCCCGGGCAUGACCU